This 208-nucleotide ribosomal RNA is filed under the name uncultured cyanobacterium. Its description in RNAcentral is "partial 16S ribosomal RNA". It matches the Rfam family "Bacterial small subunit ribosomal RNA", at positions 1296 to 1504 of the family's 1533-position model. The record is from RNAcentral. Lineage: Bacteria; Bacillati; Cyanobacteriota.
GAUCGGAGGCUGCAACUCGACUCCGUGAAGGCGGAAUCGCUAGUAAUCGCAGGUCAGCAUACUGCGGUGAAUACGUUCCCGGGCCUUGUACACACCGCCCGUCACACCAUGGGAGUUGGCCACGCCCGAAGUCGUUACUCCAACCGCAAGGAGGAGGACGCCGAAGGCAGGGCUGGUGACUGGGGUGGAGUCGUAACAAGGUACCGUA